Phyllostomus discolor (pale spear-nosed bat) is the source of this 1017-nucleotide long non-coding RNA. RefSeq lists it as uncharacterized. The transcript is spliced from 3 exons. NCBI's taxonomy places the organism in Eukaryota, Metazoa, Chordata, Mammalia, Chiroptera, Phyllostomidae. The record is from RefSeq and is a predicted model, not a curated record.
GCUGCAAGUGGGCAGGGGCUGGGCUGAGGAGGGAGGUGCCAGAGGGACCCCCAUGUCUAGAAGGUCUGCAAGGGCCACAGAUCAAAGGUCAUAGAGCCGGGAACUUCUCUCUAAGGUGGAGACAGACCAGCUGAGCAUGCGGGUCAGCAUCACAGCCUCCAGGAGGCUGCUGAGAGACCACGGAUCUCACCUCUGUCAUUUUACAGAUGAGAAAACAGAGACCCAAAUGGGAGGACACCAGCCUGUGCGGCAGAGCCAGGCCCAACCCAGGUCUCCCAACUCCCAGCCAGCCGCUCUUUUCACGCAACCUUUAAUCUCCCUCCUGUGGGUUCUGGUGCCUCCUCCCACCCCCUGGGAACCCUGAUCAUGAGCAGAAGGAGAAGGGGAGUGGCCAGGGCCCCCACAGCCCCAGGCACCAGAAGCUGGGUGCCUUCCUCCAUCCUCACUCCCAAAGAGAAGGGAGAAUCGGCGGUACCCCACCGGCCCCUCCUCCGGGUCGGAACCAGUUGGUGCCUGCCCACACCUGGUGCCUCUGUUGCCGGCAGCAGAGCCCGGAGCCAGCACCAGCCACAGCAAGGGCAAAGUCACCAGGGCAGCUGCUGGGGCCACAGGGAGUCACAGAAAGGGAGCUCCCGCGGAAGGCCUUGAGCACCUGCCACCUUGACCCCUCCUGAGCUGAGGCCCAAACACCCCUUCGAUGGGCGCCCAGCUCCCCUGCAACUUCUCCACUGCUGCCCACCAGAGCAACGCGGGCAGCUGGCAGGCUCCAGUGAUCAUCAUUCCAACGCUGCUCUCCUCGUCCACCCUGCUGGUGGUCAGCUGUAUCUUAUGGAAGACAUGCCGCCGGUGGGCUCGGGUCUCCAGCCCCAGCCCUCAGCCCCAGUGAGGGGCCCAGGUAAGCCACGCAAGGACCACACGGACAGAGAGUUCCAUUUCUGUUUUAUUCUUAGUGUCCUUGAGCACAACACCCGAGAAAAGCCCUGCUCCGUCUGUAUUGCCCAAAGGGGUGACACACAA